AGCUCCAAUAGCGUAUAUUAAAGUUGUUGCAGUUAAAAAGCUCGUAGUUGGAUUUCUGAUAGGGAGCCGAUCACCACUGUUGUGAGUGUUAGGUACCUGUCAUCCUUCUGUUAACCCCUGCGGCAUUCAUUUGUCGUUGGGCGGACCAGAUACUUUACCUUGAGAAAAUUAGAGUGUUUCAGGCAGGCCUAGCCGGAAUACAUUAGCAUGGAAUAAUGGAAUAGGACUAUAGUCUCGUCGUUGGUUACGUGGACUGCAGUAAUGAUUAAUAGGGAUAGUUGGGGGCAUUAGUAUUUAUUAGCUAGAGGUGGAAUUCUCUAAUUUGAUAAAGACUAACUUAUGCGAAAGCAUUUGCCAAGGAUGUUUUCAUUA
RNAcentral lists this ribosomal RNA (372 nucleotides) under Spirotrichea sp. Its description in RNAcentral is "SSU rRNA". It matches the Rfam family "Eukaryotic small subunit ribosomal RNA", at positions 587 to 975 of the family's 1831-position model. Lineage: Eukaryota; Ciliophora; Spirotrichea. The record is from RNAcentral.